AAUGGGCGCAAGCCUGAUCCAGCCAUGCCGCGUGAGUGAAGAAGGCCUUCGGGUUGUAAAGCUCUUUUGUCAGGGAAGAAAUGCUCUGGGUUAAUACCCUGGGGUGAUGACGGUACCUGAAGAAUAAGCACCGGCUAACUACGUGCCAGCAGCCGCGGUAAUACGUAGGGUGCGAGCGUUAAUCGGAAUUACUUGGCGUAAAGCGUGCGCAGGCGGUUUUGUAAGUCAGAUGUGAAAUCCCCGGGCUCAACCUGGGAACUGCAUUUGAGACUGCAAGGCUAGAGUGUAGCAGAGGGGGGUAGAAUUCCACGUGUAGCAGUGAAAUGCGUAGAGAUGUGGAGGAAUACCGAUGGCGAAGGCAGCCCCCUGGGUUACUACUGACGCUCAUGCACGAAAGCGUGGGGAGCAAA
RNAcentral lists this ribosomal RNA (410 nucleotides) under uncultured bacterium. Its description in RNAcentral is "bacterial SSU rRNA". It matches the Rfam family "Bacterial small subunit ribosomal RNA", at positions 370 to 772 of the family's 1533-position model. The record is from RNAcentral.